RNAcentral lists this ribosomal RNA (1947 nucleotides) under human gut metagenome. RNAcentral describes it as "bacterial LSU rRNA". It matches the Rfam family "Bacterial large subunit ribosomal RNA", at positions 710 to 2653 of the family's 2925-position model. The record is from RNAcentral.
UAGACCCGAAACCGGGUGAUCUAUCCAUGAGCAGGUUGAAGCAAGGGUAAAGCCUUGUGGAGGACCGAACCAGUUCUGGCUGAAAACAGUUUGGAUGACUUGUGGAUAGGGGUGAAAGGCCAAUCAAACCCGGUGAUAGCUGGUUCUCCCCGAAAUAUAUUGAGGUAUAGCCUUGCGGAUUGUCUUAUGGAGGUAAAGCUCUGACAGAACUAGGGGUCCUAUCCGACUACCGAAUUCUUUCAAACUCUGAAUACCAUUAAGAUUUACCGCAGGAGUCAGACGGCGGGUGCUAAGGUUCGUCGUCAAAAGGGCAACAGCCCAGACCGACAGCUAAGGCCUCCAAAUGCAUGCUCAGUGGUUAAGGUGGUGGCGUUGUGUAGACACCCAGGACGUUGGCUUAGAAGCAGCCAUCGUUUAAAGAAAGCGUAAUAGCUCACUGGUUCAAUGGCGCUGCGCCGAAAAUGUAACGGGGCUAAGCAUGCUGCCGAAGCUUCGGAUUUGUCUCUGACAACUGGUAGGGGAGCGUUCUCUGCGGGCUGAAGCGGAACCGAAAGGUUUCGUGGACUGCAGAGAAGUGAUUAUGCUGACAUGAGUAACGAUAAAAUAUGUGAAAAACAUAUUCGCCGUAAAUCCAAGGUUUCCUGGGUAAAGGUAAUCUUCCCAGGGUUAGUCGGACCCUAAGGCCAGGCUGAAAGGCGUAGCUGAUGGGAAACGGGUUAAUAAUCCUGUACUUGUGCGAUUGUGCGAAGAAGGGACGCAGGAUGGUAGACAGGCCGGUUUUUGGAAUCCGGUGCAAGUGCGUAGGCGUGCUCCGCAGGCAAAUCCGCGGAGAUGAGCCGAGACACGAGUCCGUGGGCGCAAGCCCUGAAGCUGUUGAGCCACGGCUGCCAAGAAAAGCUUCUAAGUUUAGAUCGCGCGAACCGUACCGCAAACCAACUCAGGUGGAUGGGAUGAAUAAUCCAAGGCGCUCGAGAGAACUCUGGCCAAGGAACUCGGCAAAUUGACCCCGUAACUUCGGAAUAAGGGGUGCUCCCCACGGUGAGACAAAUUCUUGUUCAGCCCCGGGGAGCCGCAGAGAAAUGGUGGUGGCGACUGUUUACUAAAAACAUAGGUCUGUGCGAAGUCCUAAAGACGACGUAUACGGACUGACGCCUGCCCGGUGCCGGAAGGUUAAAAGGAGGAGUCAGCGCAAGCGAAGCUCCGAAUUGAAGCCCCGGUAAACGGCGGCCGUAACUAUAACGGUCCUAAGGUAGCGAAAUUCCUUGUCGGGUAAGUUCCGACCUGCACGAAUGGCGUAACGAUCUCCACACUGUCUCGGCCAGAGACUCGGUGAAAUUGCAGUCGCGGUGAAAAUUCCGUGUACCCGCAGAAAGACGGAAAGACCCUGUGCACCUUUACUAUAGCUUGACAUUGGGUUUUGAACCUGCAUGUGUAGGAUAGGUGGGAGGCUGUGAAAGCUGUACGCCAGUAUGGCCGGAGCCACCCGUGAAAUACCACCCUUGUUUGUUCAGGACCCUAACUCGCAGCUGUAAUCCAGCGCGAAGACAGUGUCUGGUGGGUAGUUUGACUGGGGCGGUCGCCUCCUAAAGAGUAACGGAGGCAUGCAAAGGUUCCCUCAGGCUGAUUGGAAACCAGCCGUUGAGUGCAAGCGCAUAAGGGAGCUUGACUGCAAGAGAGACAUCUCGAACAGAUACGAAAGUAGGUGCUAGUGAUCCGGUGGUCCCGAAUGGAAGGGCCAUCGCUCAUUGGAUAAAAGGUACGCCGGGGAUAACAGGCUGAUCGCAUCCAAGAGUUCACAUCGACGAUGCGGUUUGGCACCUCGAUGUCGGCUCAUCACAUCCUGGGGCUGAAGCAGGUCCCAAGGGUACGGCUGUUCGCCGUUUAAAGUGGUACGCGAGCUGGGUUUAAAACGUCGUGAGACAGUUUGGUCCCUAUCUUCUGUGGGCG